GCUAGCUUUUGAGGACAUGCUGCAGAGAGUGAACACUUCCGAGGUAACUGUGCCUUGCAUCCGCCUAGUCCUGGUGUCGGUUGUUAGCAGCCUGUGCUCCUUUAAUGUCAAGUUCAUUUGAAUGUGCGGUAGACACUGAAAACAGAGAGAAAUAUUUAGAAAGAAACAGAAGGGAAACAAAGAAAUCCCAAAAUGCUCUUCUAUGCAUCCAGAUUGAAUUCCAUACAUGCUAACUGGUGCCUUCUAUCAAAAACCAUGUAUGCUGCAUAGCGCUGUAAGAAGCAAUACCAGCGCUAUGAAUAAAAACCACAAAUCCCUUGAUCCUUUGGGACGAAAACGGAAGCCGCGUCACGUCACUUCCGGUUAUUCGUUUCUAUAUGGAACGCAGAUGCAGGGAGAUAAAGACGGGAAACUACAAAUCCCAUGAUCCUCGGGGAUGAAAACGGAAGAAGCGUCCCGUCACUUCCGGAUACACGUCUCUGUAUGGAACCAAGCUGCCGAGGGAAAAAAACGGGGAAACUUGGCUGGUGCGGACCACGUGUAACUUCCGGCGGAACCUCCAUAUAUGGACAUUAGUAGUUCCGAGCUGGAACUACAUUUCCCAUAAUUCUUGGCUACGUUUAAGUAUUUUCGAGUUUACACUAGGCAUUUAAAUAAUAAAAGUUGUUUGGAGCUGUU
Long non-coding RNA from Pseudophryne corroboree (corroboree frog), 678 nucleotides. RefSeq lists it as uncharacterized. The record is from RefSeq and is a predicted model, not a curated record. The transcript is spliced from 3 exons. Lineage: Eukaryota; Metazoa; Chordata; Amphibia; Anura; Myobatrachidae.